AGAAAUACGAAUGAACUAGAAGAGCUGCUAACUCUUCCAUAGCGGUUAAAUUCCGUUAUAUUUCU
Molecule: transfer RNA, 65 nt
Filed under: Limulus polyphemus (Atlantic horseshoe crab)
Lineage: Eukaryota; Metazoa; Arthropoda; Merostomata; Xiphosura; Limulidae
Description: tRNA-Ser
Source: RNAcentral